CCCGCCUCGCCCGUCCCGCUCGCCGUCUUCUCUCCCCUUCCCAGCCGCGCGCCCCGCCGCAUUGCCGCCGCUCCUCCUGCGGUCGCUCGUCCCUCCUCCUCCACCCAACCCCUAACCCUAGCAGCUCCCGCCGUCAACGCCGUCUACUUCGCCCAGCCUGCCGGACCGCCUCCGUCCACUUCCCCGGCGUCGUCGCGGUCGUCCUCGCCUGCACACGGCAAGAGGAGCGCCCCCACCCUCUCCUCUCCUCCUCCCCUCAUCACGAGCCAGGACAGGGAGGGCCACCAUGGCCGGGCAGGUCAGGCGGCGCGUCUAGAUCACCGAGGAUCCGCCCGCAAGGUCCACGGGGUGCAGCCUUGCAGGGGCGCAUCGGGCUGGGCCUCCUCUAUUUCAGAUGAGUUCAUUCCCAUCCUCCUCCUCCUCCUCUCUGAUCUACUUUACCUCUCACCCUCUACUGUUCUUCCUUCUCUCUCAGAUUUGGUGCAGCAGUCGCUGUCUGUCAAGUUCUUGGUGGAGAUGCAGCUGAUGCUCAAAGCGAUUCAUCAGGGAGGACCCCCGCUAGUAGAGAGAUGGCUUCUGUCCAAAGGCUUAGGUAUUAUUAUUGAAAUACAAGAUAAUGUUGUUGGUCUUCCCAGAAUGAAAAAAGUGUUUUUGACACUGCCAUCGAAGGGGUCUUCAGCGCUUUAACCACUGAAGAAAGGCCAUCCAUGGUUUAUGGCAGGAGACCUGAAGAAGAACAAGCAACUUUAUCUAAAAAUGGAAGAGCUAGCUAGCACCAUAGAGCCCCAGUCCACCUCCAAGAUCAAGUUCUAUACGCAAUUCACCGAUAGUGAAAGUAGAGGAAUAUGAAGCAGUAAAUAUAAUGUUGGUCCAUAGAGCCCUACUUUUUCAUUCGUUCACUGGAAGAAAUGGUAUUGUGUGCCUUGCUUGGAUAGGCUCUCCCAUCCCUGAUGGUCUAGACUUGGGUGAUCGCUCAGGGAUGAAAAUAAAGGCUAACUACAAUAGCAUGUCUUACAAAAACAUUUGUCAUGUUGUGAAUAUGACUGCUAUGUUUUUAAACAGGAAGAAUUUUGUAGUUUCAGACUGGCAUCAAAGCCGAGGUUGGAGCGGUGAUAGCGGCUGCAGUGGGACGGACGGUAGCAACAAUAAGAAAUUCCUCAUCCAUGCCUCCAACAAAAAGGGUCAUCUGGUGACGAACACCUCCUCCUUCUCUUCUCUGGCCCUAUGCUACCAUCGCUUGAGAUGAUAGUAGUGCGAGCUAUUCACAAGCUCUAUCGAGACAUGGAACCGAAGCCGUGAGGCUGACAUCAUCAUUUUGUCAGACUAAGUGUGGAGUUGCAAGUUUGUAAGUGGCUUUGGAAUCCUGUUCACUGUUGGAAACUGCUGGACCUUGCUGUUGUUGUUUGGUUCAUAAGGUACGCUCUUGAGCAAUCGAGCAAGCUGCUUAGCUUUUGAUAUAUUCCUUUUUGCCAAACUUGAUGUGUCGAGCUUUGAGCUACAAACUUGAUGGAAUGUGCUUGGCCAUGGAAGAGGGGGUGGCACUAUCUUUCCUCCUUCAGAUCAGGGUGUUCCUCCUGCUGUGAUUGAGUCUGGUGUUUUUCCUCGCUUGUGGAGCUUCUCUUGUUCCCGUCGACUUCUAUUCUCAUUGCAGCUCUGCGCAUGGUGGGUAACAUUGCCACUGGUGAUGAUUUGCAGACUCGGGUUCGUGUGAGGCAGGUCCCUGUGAAGUAUAUCGACAAGGCAGAUGAAUUACGCCACUUGUUAGUAUGCUUAAUGAUUAUGUCUCCGUAGUUGGCUCUUCUUAUGUGUUCUCGCUUUUGUAUCGAACUUCGUGUUGAAUGGUCGUCUUUUAUGGUCGGAUGAACGCACCGAGUUUGACCCUGUAUAUAAUCUGAUGUUGAUCUUGAGAUCCACUGUGUUUUACUUCUGUCGCAAUUGAAUGUUUCUUUACUUCAUUAUCAUCAUGCACAAGUACAAA
Triticum dicoccoides is the source of this 1978-nucleotide long non-coding RNA. RefSeq lists it as uncharacterized. The record is from RefSeq and is a predicted model, not a curated record. The transcript is spliced from 14 exons. Lineage: Eukaryota; Viridiplantae; Streptophyta; Magnoliopsida; Poales; Poaceae.